CUUAAAGAAAUGCUCACUUGGCUAUUAUAACUCAUAAAAACACACAAACACAAAAGCAAAAGAAAAAAAUUUGACAGCAAAAACAUUGAAGAGGCUGCCAAAUUAAAAAAAGAUAAACUUCCACAAUUGAUAAAGGAAAGAUUUUUCCCCACCAACGUUCGACACCGUCAUUUCUCCCUUUUUCCCCAUCGACGUCCCACAACAAAUCAAAACGAAAUCGAGACCACCCUCGCACUAAGCUCCAUCGUUGGCCGGCACCGAAGAAGCAAAGAACAUAGAUCUCCUUUUUCAACAAAAUUUGAUUAGUUGUUUGACAUACGUUGGAGUACCAACCAUCUCCUUCUUUGACGGAAUUUGCAGCGAACUUUCGGUAAGCACCGGAUUUGGGUUAUAUGGGUGUGUGGCUAUCGUUGGGCAUAGUUAUAUUUGCUGAUUCGACCAAAUCUAUGGGUAUUUAUGGGUGUAUUCGACCAAACAUUUUGAGCAUGUUUUGAGAUUUUGUGCACUGUGACAAUAAUUGCAUAUACAAAAUUGUAUAUUAUUUGGAAUGUCACAAUUUUUUUGCAUGACGUGAUGAAAAAUAGGAAGGUGUAGAUGUUGGAAUUGCCAUAUUGUGUUUGCAGUAAUUGAAAGUGAACUACAUGAGCGUUCUUAUUCGACUUGCUCGAACAUUUGAUUAUCCAAUUUGUUAAGCAGUUAUUUGGAAUAGUCAUUGCGUCAUUCUAACAUUAUUUGUAUGUGCUUGCAACUGUAGUUUACAAUGGCAGCAAAUAAUCGUGGAGUGUGUCAUGGUUGUAGACGUAGUGAUCACUUGUUUAAGGAUUGUCCAAACAAGCACCCAUGCCCGUGGUGUAAACAUGCUUUUGUCAAGUGUUUUGUGGUUGCGAAGGAAAUUAAUAACAAGGGAAAAUUUUCAAUUGUUGUAGGGCAAAUUGUGGGUAUUGGAAGUGGGUUAAAGAGGGUGAAACAAGCGGUGAAUCAAGUUCUGAUGGAACAAUUACAUCCACUAACAAUGCAACGAGCGAAUUAGUUCAAGAGGCAUCUGGUAUGUUCAAAACUAUGUGUAGGCUAAGUCAUGACGAAGAUGUGGAAAUUAUAGUCACAAUACUAAAAGGAAAAGUGAGCUCGAAAUGAAGUUGUGUAAGGAAAUGGGAAUGAUUGAUCUGCAGUUAUAGGUGACAGUGAAGUUGUUAUUUAAAUUAGGAUCACCAUUUGUCAUUUAACUUUGGGUUUCUACUGCGUCGUUUCAUGAUAUGUAAUUUGGAUGUUAUGUAAUGUUAUGCACUGAGUAUUUCAUUUUGUUUGGUGCUAUAUUCACUCUAUAAUUGUUUAGCUAUCAAAUCAUGUCUUAAAUGUAUAAG
Molecule: long non-coding RNA, 1361 nt
Filed under: Olea europaea subsp. europaea
Lineage: Eukaryota; Viridiplantae; Streptophyta; Magnoliopsida; Lamiales; Oleaceae
Source: RNAcentral